RNAcentral lists this small nuclear RNA (107 nucleotides) under Prolemur simus (greater bamboo lemur). Lineage: Eukaryota; Metazoa; Chordata; Mammalia; Primates; Lemuridae. The record is from RNAcentral.
GUGCUCGCUUCGGCAGCAUAUAUACUAAAAUUGGAACGAUACAGAGAAGAUUAGCAUGGCCCCUGCACAAGGAUGACACACAAAUUCGUGAAGUGUUCCAUAUUUUA